AUCGUAACAAGGUUUCCGUAGGUGAACCUGCGGAAGGAUCAUUCAUAAUAAGUGUUUUAUGGCACUUUUUAAAUCCAUAUCCACCUUGUGUGCAAUGUCAGUCGAUCUUCAUGGAGAUCGACCAAACAUCAACCUAAGUUUUAACUCUUUGUCUGAAAAAUAUUAUGAAUAAACAAUUCAAAAUACAACUUUCAACAACGGAUCUCUUGGCUCUCGCAUCGAUGAAGAACGCAGCGAAAUGCGAUACGUAAUGUGAAUUGCAGAAUUCAGUGAAUCAUCGAAUCUUUGAACGCAUAUUGCGCUCUUUGGUAUUCCGAAGAGCAUGCUUGUUUGAGUAUCAGUAAACACCUCAAAGCUCUUAAUUUUUUGAGAGUUUUGGACUUGAGCAAACCCAACACCAGUCUAUUUCAGAUCGGCGGCGGGUUGCUUGAAAUGCAGGUGCAGCUGGACAUUCUCCUGAGCUAAAAGCAUAUUUAUUUAGUCCCGUCAAAAGGAUUAUUACUUUUGCUGCAGCUAAUAUAAAGGGAGUUUGACCGUAUUGGCUGACUGAUGCAGGAUUUCACAAAGGUCGGCAACG
The sequence is a ribosomal RNA, 577 nucleotides long. The stretch from base 187 to 340 matches the Rfam family "5.8S ribosomal RNA".